Molecule: unclassified non-coding RNA, 334 nt
Filed under: soil metagenome
Description: partial contains 5.8S ribosomal RNA, internal transcribed spacer 2, and large subunit ribosomal RNA
Rfam family: 5.8S ribosomal RNA (bases 1-120)
Source: RNAcentral
GAUGAAGAACGUAGCGAAAUGCGAUAAGUAAUGUGAAUUGCAGAAUUCAGUGAAUCAUCGAAUCUUUGAACGCACAUUGCGCCCGCCAGUAUUCUGGCGGGCAUGCCUGUUCGAGCGUCAUUUCAACCAUCAAGCCCCCGGCUUGUGUUGGGGACCUGCGGCUGCCGCAGGCCCUGAAAACCAGUGGCGGGCUCGCUAGUCACUCCGAGCGUAGUAGUUACAUCUCGCUCAGGGCGUGCUGCGGGUUCCGGCCGUUAAAAGCCUUAUUUACCCAAGGUUGACCUCGGAUCAGGUAGGAAGACCCGCUGAACUUAAGCAUAUCAAUAGCGGAGGA